CUUGGUUCAUUUUUCUAAAUCAUAUAUUUCUUCUUUGUGUGUCACCUAAAUUUGUAGAAAAACGGGACCCAUUUCUUUGUAGACUUUGCGACUACUCUUUCUAGUCGACCACGAAUAAGUUAAAGAUAAAAUCCUUUUCAGAAUUAUUAUCAACCUCUUCUUUUUCUUUUUAUCCUUUUUCCUUUUUAUGUGGGCACCUAUACUCUUCAAUUCCUAGUUAGUAUGAACGCACGAG
This 235-nucleotide long non-coding RNA is filed under the name Panax ginseng (ginseng). RNAcentral describes it as "long non-coding RNA (PGIN_LNC012958)". The record is from RNAcentral. Lineage: Eukaryota; Viridiplantae; Streptophyta; Magnoliopsida; Apiales; Araliaceae.